RNAcentral lists this ribosomal RNA (405 nucleotides) under uncultured bacterium. Its description in RNAcentral is "bacterial SSU rRNA". It matches the Rfam family "Bacterial small subunit ribosomal RNA", at positions 355 to 784 of the family's 1533-position model. The record is from RNAcentral.
UGGGGAAUAUUGGACAAUGGGGGAAACCCUGAUCCAGCAAUGCCGCGUGUGUGAAGAAGGCCUUCGGGUUGUAAAGCACUUUUAGUCAGGAAGCGUUACUUGCAGAAAAAGAACCGGCUAACUCCGUGCCAGCAGCCGCGGUAAUACGGAGGGUGCAAGCGUUAAUCGGAAUUACUGGGCGUAAAGCGCGCGUAGGCGGCUUGCUAAGUCGGAUGUGAAAUCCCCGGGCUCAACCUGGGAACUGCAUUCGAUACUGGCUGGCUAGAGUGUGGUAGAGGGAAGUGGAAUUCCAGGUGUAGCGGUGAAAUACGUAGAUAUCUGGGGGAACAUCAGUGGCGAAGGCGGCUUCCUGGACCAACACUGACGCUGAGGCGCGAAAGCGUGGGGAGCAAACAGGAUUAGAUA